UACGAUCACCGAAGUUAAGCAACGUCGAGCCUGGUCAGUACCUAGAUGGGUGACCGCUUGGGAAUACCAGG
This 71-nucleotide ribosomal RNA is filed under the name Acanthosepion pharaonis. The record is from RNAcentral. Lineage: Eukaryota; Metazoa; Mollusca; Cephalopoda; Sepiida; Sepiidae.